UGGGGAAUAUUGGACAAUGGGGGCAACCCUGAUCCAGCAAUGCCGCGUGUGUGAAGAAGGUCUUCGGAUUGUAAAGCACUUUCGACGGGGACGAUGAUGACGGUACCCGUAGAAGAAGCCCCGGCUAACUUCGUGCCAGCAGCCGCGGUAAUACGAAGGGGGCUAGCGUUGCUCGGAAUGACUGGGCGUAAAGGGCGUGUAGGCGGUUUACACAGUCAGAUGUGAAAUCCCCGGGCUUAACCUGGGAGCUGCAUUUGAUACGUGUAGACUAGAGUGUGAGAGAGGGUUGUGGAAUUCCCAGUGUAGAGGUGAAAUUCGUAGAUAUUGGGAAGAACACCGGUGGCGAAGGCGGCAACCUGGCUCAUGACUGACGCUGAGGCGCGAAAGCGUGGGGAGCAAACAGGAUUAGAUACCCUGGUAGUCCACACUGUAAACGAUGUGUGCUAGAUGUUGGGUAACUUUGGUUAUUCUAGUGUCGCAGU
Molecule: ribosomal RNA, 482 nt
Filed under: uncultured bacterium
Lineage: Bacteria
Description: partial 16S ribosomal RNA
Rfam family: Bacterial small subunit ribosomal RNA
Source: RNAcentral